Long non-coding RNA from Ornithorhynchus anatinus (platypus), 1131 nucleotides. RefSeq lists it as uncharacterized. The transcript has 4 exons. Lineage: Eukaryota; Metazoa; Chordata; Mammalia; Monotremata; Ornithorhynchidae. The record is from RefSeq and is a predicted model, not a curated record.
UGAGUGCUUCCUGUGUGUUCCAUUCAGAGGUCUCUGCAGUGAAGUUAUGUUCCACCCUCAACUCAUUCUGAAAAUUUGUCACUGAGCCAACAGACCUGCAGUUUGCUCACCGACCUUGGGGAUAUAGAGCUGGUUGCCUUCUUCGGCUUUCCUUCCACCUUUCCGUCUCCAGAUCUUGCCUCCUCUGGCAAAGACCUUGGAAGAUCCUUUGUCAGACCAGGAUGCUACUCUGGCUCUUGCCCAGAGAACUGGGCGUGGAACAGAGGAAAUUGUUAUUAUAUUUCUACAGAAGCCAAAACUUGGCUAGAGAGUCAAACCGCCUGUAGAAGCAUGAAUUCCAGUCUCCUGAAGAUAGAAGACAGGGAGGAGUUACAAGACUUUCUGAAACUUUUGAAGUCUUUUUACUGGACUGGAUUGUCUCGGCGUGGCCCUGAUGAACCCUGGCUGUGGCUGGAUGGAUCUGGUCUCUCCCAUGACUUGUCUGUGCAAAAUGUUUUCCCUUGGGGAAACUGUGUGUUUUACAGAUUGGAAGGUGAAUUUACAUCUGAAAACUGUACCUACUCAACAUUAUAUAUUUGUGAGCUAAGAGCUACAUAGGCUUAAAAAUGCUCAACUAGGAAUAAUGUUAUUAUACAUUCCCAUUUAAGGCUUUCCUAUAACAACCCUGGUGUCUCUUGAAAUGUUUGUGUUGUAGAAUCAUAUGCUGGUCAGUAGUUAUUAUUUUAUAGAAAUAAGAAAAAAAGAAGUAUUUGCAUGGAACAACUGACUUGAUCUGUCAAAUUACUUACAGCUGGAGUUAUUGUCCAGCUAAUGAAAGCUCUCACCAAAUGUCUGUCAUCGGUAACUUUGUUCAUGAAAAAAUUAUGUAAACUAUUAUUAUCUCAAUUCUCUAGGCCUCAGUUACCUUGUAUGUAAAAUGGGGAUGAGAGUGCUAGCCCCAUGCGGGACAGGGACUGUGUCCCCUUCUAGACUGUGAGCCCAGAUUGGGUUGGGAGUUGUCUCUCUUUGUUGCUGAAUUGUACUUUCCAAGGGCUUAGUGCAGUAUUCUGCACAAAGUAAGCACUCGAUAUGUAUAAUUGAAUUAUUGAAUUAUAAUAAACAGUAAAAUGGAAAACUUCAUUAAAGUUCAUU